This 293-nucleotide unclassified non-coding RNA is filed under the name Hevea brasiliensis (rubber tree). Lineage: Eukaryota; Viridiplantae; Streptophyta; Magnoliopsida; Malpighiales; Euphorbiaceae. The record is from RNAcentral.
AGUAUAUGCAUUAUCUGACAAACUGGGAGGGAAAACAGUGCAUCAGAUCAAACAUAUGAGAUGAAUCUAAGAGUCUAAAAUAAUCAAUACUAGCAACAAUGAAAGCAAAAGGCAGUUGCUAAAAAUAUUUUAGUGGUAACAAUUUGUCAGUUUAAACCAUCUUGCUCACACACAUGCACAUAUACACAGUAAAUAAACUUGUAGAUGACAAAGAUAAUAAAGAUACAAGUAAGAAACAUGGUAUUGCAUAUGCAUAAGAAACAAAAAAGGGACAUUAAUAAGUAAUGAGUUGA